Molecule: unclassified non-coding RNA, 439 nt
Filed under: Hevea brasiliensis (rubber tree)
Lineage: Eukaryota; Viridiplantae; Streptophyta; Magnoliopsida; Malpighiales; Euphorbiaceae
Source: RNAcentral
GCCAAUAUGAAACCAACAGAAAUACUUGCAAAUUCUAGACUGAAGCAUGCAAUAUCAUAGCUUAUAAGCAUUUCAACUAUUUACCAAAAUCAAGCACUUUAACAGAUACAAGUUAAAAGAUUGAAAAAUAAAAUAAAAAAUUCAAGAGGUAUAGAUAAAACAAGGGGAGGUCAAUAAAAUGAAUCAAUAACAUGAUGUGUUCAUGAAGUCAGUUUGAAUAUGGACAAAUUAUUGCUCAGAUUUUUGCCUCUUUAAUGAAAAUUCCCUCUUACUUAAAGUUGUAGCAGUAUUUUGGUCAUUACUCAAUAGCAUGUAGUAUUGCAUCAACCAGCCAUUUCCGCACCACAAGUUCUAAAGAUCUAAUUCCCCCAUCAAAUACAUGUGUAGGAGCAAAUCUUAGAGAAGCCUUCAAUACCUGAAUAACAUAAUUCCCAUAUUG